AUUUAAAUACAUCUCAUGUUGAGGUUCAAC
This is a non-coding RNA of Clostridium autoethanogenum DSM 10061, 30 nucleotides long. The record is from Rfam. Lineage: Bacteria; Bacillati; Bacillota; Clostridia; Eubacteriales; Clostridiaceae.